RNAcentral lists this transfer RNA (71 nucleotides) under Loxodonta africana (African savanna elephant). It matches the Rfam family "tRNA". Rfam says of the family: Transfer RNA (tRNA) molecules are approximately 80 nucleotides in length. Their secondary structure includes four short double-helical elements and three loops (D, anti-codon, and T loops). Further hydrogen bonds mediate the characteristic L-shaped molecular structure. tRNAs have two regions of fundamental functional importance: the anti-codon, which is responsible for specific mRNA codon recognition, and the 3' end, to which the tRNAs corresponding amino acid is attached (by aminoacyl-tRNA synthetases). tRNAs cope with the degeneracy of the genetic code in two manners: having more than one tRNA (with a specific anti-codon) for a particular amino acid; and 'wobble' base-pairing, i.e. permitting non-standard base-pairing at the 3rd anti-codon position. Lineage: Eukaryota; Metazoa; Chordata; Mammalia; Proboscidea; Elephantidae. The record is from Rfam by way of RNAcentral.
GCAGUGGUGGCUCAGUGGUAGAAUUCUCACCUUCCAUGUGGGAGAACUGAGUUCAAUUCCUGGCCAAUGCA